UUUUUCCCUCUCUUUUUUGUUCCCUCAAGCUAUUUUAAAUAUCAUGCUCAUUUUCCCCCACCCACCAUAAAAAGCUUCUUCCCAAUUCACCAAAUGAACCCACAAUUUCAUUCGCACCGUCCCUCAUAUGUCCGUUCUUCCCCUAAUCUAGUACAUUUGUGACGGGUAAAUAGAUCCUUCGCCGGCGUCCAGCGUCCUUCAAAGCGGCAAAAACUUAAAAUUCUCCUGUUGACCCCAAAACCUAAUCCUAGACUAGUAAGUAAUUACUCUCCCC
Molecule: long non-coding RNA, 274 nt
Filed under: Hordeum vulgare
Lineage: Eukaryota; Viridiplantae; Streptophyta; Magnoliopsida; Poales; Poaceae
Description: long non-coding RNA (HVUL_LNC012578)
Source: RNAcentral